RNAcentral lists this ribosomal RNA (253 nucleotides) under uncultured bacterium. RNAcentral describes it as "partial 16S ribosomal RNA". It matches the Rfam family "Bacterial small subunit ribosomal RNA", at positions 524 to 776 of the family's 1533-position model. The record is from RNAcentral.
UACGUAGGGUGCAAGCGUUGUCCGGAAUUAUUGGGCGUAAAGAGCUCGUAGGCGGUUUGUCGCGUCUGCUGUGAAAACUGGAGGCUCAACCUCCAGCCUGCAGUGGGUACGGGCAGACUAGAGUGCGGUAGGGGAGAUUGGAAUUCCUGGUGUAGCGGUGGAAUGCGCAGAUAUCAGGAGGAACACCAAUGGCGAAGGCGGCGGCCUGGACAGAACCUGACGCUGAGGCACGAAAGCUGGGGGAGCGAACAGG